UGCAGUCGACGGACCCUUCGGGGUUAGUGGCGGACGGGUGAGUAACACGUGGGAACGUGCCUUUAGGUUCGGAAUAGCUCCUGGAAACGGGUGGUAAUGCCGAAUGUGCCCUUCGGGGGAAAGAUUUAUCGCCUUUAGAGCGGCCCGCGUCUGAUUAGCUAGUUGGUGAGGUAAUGGCUCACCAAGGCGACGAUCAGUAGCUGGUCUGAGAGGAUGACCAGCCACACUGGGACUGAGACACGGCCCAGACUCCUACGGGAGGCAGCAGUGGGGAAUCUUGCGCAAUGGGCGAAAGCCUGACGCAGCCAUGCCGCGUGAAUGAUGAAGGUCUUAGGAUUGUAAAAUUCUUUCACCGGGGACGAUAAUGACGGUACCCGGAGAAGAAGCCCCGGCUAACUUCGUGCCAGCAGCCGCGGUAAUACGAAGGGGGCUAGCGUUGCUCGGAAUUACUGGGCGUAAAGGGCGCGUAGGCGGACAUUUAAGUCAGGGGUGAAAUCCCAGAGCUCAACUCUGGAACUGCCUUUGAUACUGGGUGUCUUGAGUGUGAGAGAGGUAUGUGGAACUCCGAGUGUAGAGGUGAAAUUCGUAGAUAUUCGGAAGAACACCAGUGGCGAAGGCGACAUACUGGCUCAUUACUGACGCUGAGGCGC
Molecule: ribosomal RNA, 650 nt
Filed under: uncultured bacterium
Lineage: Bacteria
Description: bacterial SSU rRNA
Rfam family: Bacterial small subunit ribosomal RNA
Source: RNAcentral